RNAcentral lists this transfer RNA (69 nucleotides) under Haedus sp. Its description in RNAcentral is "tRNA-Trp". The record is from RNAcentral. Lineage: Eukaryota; Metazoa; Arthropoda; Insecta; Hemiptera; Tingidae.
AAAACCUUAAGUUAAACUUAAACUAAUAACCUUCAAAGUUAUAAAUAUAUAAUAUUAAUAUAGGUUUUA